GCCCGGUGCAGUGGCGCGUGCCUAUAGUCCCAGCUACUCGAGAGGCUGAGGCUGGAGGAUCGCUUGAGCCUAGGAGUUCUGGGCUGUAGUGUGCUAUGCUGAUCAGGUGUCCACACUAAGUUCGGCAUCAAUAGGGUGACCUCCCAGGAGCAGGGGACCACCAGGUUGCCUAAGGAGGGGUGAACUGGCCCAGGUCGGAAACGGAGCAGGUCAAAACUCCCGUGCUGAUCAGUAGUGGGAUCCCGCCUGUGAAUAGCCACUGCACUCCAGCCUGGGCAACAUAGAGAGACCCAGGUUCA
This 299-nucleotide signal recognition particle RNA is filed under the name Saimiri boliviensis boliviensis (Bolivian squirrel monkey). Its description in RNAcentral is "Metazoan signal recognition particle RNA (ENSSBOG00000006629.1)". It matches the Rfam family "Metazoan signal recognition particle RNA". From Rfam's summary of the family: The signal recognition particle (SRP) is a universally conserved ribonucleoprotein. It is involved in the co-translational targeting of proteins to membranes. The eukaryotic SRP consists of a 300-nucleotide 7S RNA and six proteins: SRPs 72, 68, 54, 19, 14, and 9. Lineage: Eukaryota; Metazoa; Chordata; Mammalia; Primates; Cebidae. The record is from RNAcentral.